RNAcentral lists this ribosomal RNA (428 nucleotides) under uncultured archaeon. RNAcentral's name for it is "bacterial SSU rRNA". It matches the Rfam family "Archaeal small subunit ribosomal RNA", at positions 474 to 903 of the family's 1478-position model. The record is from RNAcentral.
UACCAGCUCUCCGAGUGGUCGGGAUAAUUAUUGGGCUUAAAAUGUCCGUAGCCGGUUUAGUAAGUUCCUGGUAAAAUCGGGUAGCUUAACUAUCCGUAUGCUAGGAAUACUGCUAUACUAGAGGGCGGGAGAGGUCUGAGGUACUACAGGGGUAGGGGUGAAAUCUUAUAAUCCUUGUAGGACCACCAGUGGCGAAGGCGUCAGACUGGAACGCGCCUGACGGUGAGGGGCGAAAGCCAGGGGAGCGAACCGGAUUAGAUACCCGGGUAGUCCUGGCUGUAAACGAUGCAUACUAGGUGAUGGCAUGGCCAUGAGCCGUGUCAGUGCCGUAAGGAAACCGUUAAGUGUGCCGCCUGGGAAGUACGGUCGCAAGGCUAAAACUUAAAGGAAUUGGCGGGGAGCACCACAAGGGGUGAAGCCUGCGGUUC